RNAcentral lists this transfer RNA (77 nucleotides) under Chloroflexota bacterium. RNAcentral describes it as "tRNA-Val". It matches the Rfam family "tRNA". From Rfam's summary of the family: Transfer RNA (tRNA) molecules are approximately 80 nucleotides in length. Lineage: Bacteria; Bacillati; Chloroflexota. The record is from RNAcentral. RNAcentral also lists the same sequence under 4 other names.
GGGCGAUUAGCUCAGCUGGUUAGAGUGCACGGUUCACAUCCGUGAGGUCACUGGUUCGAAUCCAGUAUCGCCCACCA